This 28-nucleotide small RNA is filed under the name Bombyx mori (domestic silkworm). RNAcentral's name for it is "ovarian small RNA-3420". The record is from RNAcentral. Lineage: Eukaryota; Metazoa; Arthropoda; Insecta; Lepidoptera; Bombycidae.
UCGCAAUGUCCAAACUAACGCCUAGUGC